AAUGUCACAGACCACUGGCGGGACCCACUUCACAACUGCGUCUAAAUUUUAGUCAUUGGAAUCACAACGUACCUACUAAUGUGGUAUAACUUGUUUGGUAGGUUAUAUGCUAGUGUACAACUUUGUGAACCAACUAUAUAGAGGAAGCAAAAUUUUCAAAAAUCUUGUGAAAUAGGAUGUGAUCGGUAUAGUAAAAUAUGGCUUCGGUAGAAAAAUCACUUUAAUUUUCCAAUGUUUGGGCCCCAAUCGAAGCGGUCAACCCUAUUUACGUUUAUGUUUCACUAAGGAGAGCCCUAUCCUCGGGUGGUAAAUGUCCCCAAAGUUUUACAUGGGUGGUUAAAUCUCAUCUAUGUGAGACUUUAUUGUGUUGAAGAAUCCACCAAACUAAGUCACAAAGAGGUAGAUAAGAUAGUUUUCGUGUGAUAAAUGAAUAUGAAUUAGGGUUGACCGCUUUGAUCGAGCCCCGAACAUUGUUGAAUCCAGUUGAAUUUUAUACCAUAGUCAUGUUUCACUAUAAUGAUCACAUCAUACGGUCAAUUUUCAUUUUGUGAAUUUUAGUCAUCGAAAUCAUAACAUGUCUACUAAAGUAAUAUAACUUGUUUAAUAUGUUAUAUGCUAGUAUACAACUUUGUGAACCAACUAUAUAGAGGAAGCAAAAUUUUCAAAAAUCUCGUGAAAUAUGAUGUGAUCGAUAUAGUAAAAUACAGCUACGGUGGAAAAAUCACUUUAAUUCGCCAAUGUUUGGGCCCCGAUCGAAGCGGUCAACCUUAUUUACGUUUAUGCUUCACUAAGGAGAGCCUUAUCCUCAGGUGGUAAACGGCCCCAAAGUUUUACAUGGGUGGUUAUGUCUCAUCUAUGUGACACUUUAUUGUGUUGAAGAAUCCACCAAAAUAGGUCACAAAGAGGUAGGUAAGAUAGUUUUCGUGUGAGAAGUGAAAAUGAAUUAGGGUUGACCGCUUUGAUUGAGCCCCAAACAUUGUUGAAUCCAGUUGAAUUUUAUACCAUAGCAUUAUUUCACUGUAAUGAUCACAUCAUACGGUCAAUUUUUAUUUUGUGAAUUUUAGUCAUCGGAAUUAUAACGUGCUUACUAAUAUGAUAUAACUUGUUUGGUAGGUUAUAUGCUAGUGUACAACUUUGUGAGCCAACUAUAUAGAGGAAGCAAAA
This 1164-nucleotide long non-coding RNA is filed under the name Fragaria vesca (wild strawberry). RNAcentral describes it as "long non-coding RNA (FVES_LNC000509)". The record is from RNAcentral. Lineage: Eukaryota; Viridiplantae; Streptophyta; Magnoliopsida; Rosales; Rosaceae.